This 468-nucleotide ribosomal RNA is filed under the name uncultured bacterium. Its description in RNAcentral is "partial 16S ribosomal RNA". It matches the Rfam family "Bacterial small subunit ribosomal RNA", at positions 28 to 507 of the family's 1533-position model. The record is from RNAcentral.
GACGAACGCUGGCGGCGUGCUUAACACAUGCAAGUCGAACGGAAAGGCCCUGCGUUUGUGGGGUGCUCGAGUGGCGAACGGGUGAGUAACACGUGAGUAACCUGCCCUUGACUUUGGGAUAACUUCAGGAAACUGGGGCUAAUACCGUAUAGGAGCUCCUGCUGCGUGGUGGGGGUGGGAAAGUUUCGGCGGUUGGGGAUGGACGCGCGGCUUAUCAGCUUGUUGGUGGGGUAGUGGCUUACCAAGGCUUUGACGGGUAGCCGGCCUGAGAGGGUGACCGGCCACAUGGGGACUGAGAUACGGCGCAGACUCCUACGGGAGGCAGCAGUGGGGAAUAUUGCACAAUGGGCGGAAGCCUGAUGCAGCAACGCCGCGUUCGGGAUGACGGCCUUCGGGUUGUAAACCGCUUUCGCCUGUGACGAAGCGUGAGUGACGGUAAUGGGUAAAGAAGCACCGGCUAACUACGUG